GAUGAAGAACGCAGCGAAAUGCGAUACGUAAUGUGAAUUGCAAAUUCAGUGAAUCAUCGAGUCUUUGAACGCACAUUGCGCCCCCUGGUAUUCCGGGGGGCAUGCCUGUCCGAGCGUCAUUGCUGCCCUCAAGCACGGCUUGUGUGUUGGGCCCCGUCCUCCGAUCCCGGGGGACGGGCCCGAAAGGCAGCGGCGGCACCGCGUCCGGUCCUCGAGCGUAUGGGGCUUUGUCACCCGCUCUGUAGGCCCGGCCGGCGCUUGCCGAUCAACCCAAAUUUUUAUCCAGGUUGACCUCGGAUCAGGUAGGGAUACCCGCUUAACUUAAGCAUAUCAAUAAGCGGAGGA
This 345-nucleotide unclassified non-coding RNA is filed under the name soil metagenome. Its description in RNAcentral is "partial contains 5.8S ribosomal RNA, internal transcribed spacer 2, and large subunit ribosomal RNA". The stretch from base 1 to 119 matches the Rfam family "5.8S ribosomal RNA", at positions 35 to 154 of the family's 154-position model. The record is from RNAcentral.